Molecule: ribosomal RNA, 468 nt
Filed under: uncultured bacterium
Lineage: Bacteria
Description: partial 16S ribosomal RNA
Rfam family: Bacterial small subunit ribosomal RNA
Source: RNAcentral
GACGAACGCUGGCGGCGUGCUUAACACAUGCAAGUCGAACGGAAAGGCCCUGCUUUUGUGGGGUGCUCGAGUGGCGAACGGGUGAGUAACACGUGAGUAACCUGCCCUUGACUUUGGGAUAACUUCAGGAAACCGGGUAUCAUACCGGAUAGGAGCUCCUGCUGCAUGGUGGGGGUUGGAUAGUUUCGGCGGUUGGGGAUGGACUCGCGGCUUAUCAGCUUGUUGGUGGGGUAGUGGCAUACCAAGGCUUUGACGGGUAGCCGGCCUGAGAGGGGGACCGGCCACAUUGGGACUGAGAUACGCCCCAGACUCCAACGGGGGGCAGCAGUGGGGAAUAUGGCACAAUGGGCGGAAGCCUGAUGCAGCAACGCCGGGUGCGGGAUGACGGCCUUCGGGUUGUAAACCGCUUUCGCCUGUGACGAAGCGUGAGUGACGGUAAUGGGAGAAGAAGCACCGGCUAACUACGUG